AAUGGAGAGUUUGAUCCUGGCUCAGGAUGAACGCUGGCGGCGUGCCUAAUACAUGCAAGUCGAACGCGGGCACUUGUGCCCGAGUGGCGAACGGGUGAGUAAUACAUAAGUAACCUGGCCUUUACAGGGGGAUAACUGCUGGAAACGGUAGCUAAGACCGCAUAGGUAGGGACACUGCAUGGUGACCGUAUUAAAAGUGCUGCAAGGCACUGGUAGAGGAUGGACUUAUGGCGCAUUAGCUGGUUGGUGAGGUAACGGCUCACCAAGGCGACGAUGCGUAGCCGACCUGAGAGGGUGACCGGCCACACUGGGACUGAGACACGGCCCAGACUCCUACGGGAGGCAGCAGUAGGGAAUUUUCGGCAAUGGGGGGAACCCUGACCGAGCAACGCCGCGUGAAGGAAGAAGGAAUUCGUUCUGUAAACUUCUGUUAUAAAGGAAGAAAGGCGGAUGGAGGAAAUGACAUCCGAGUGACGGUACUUUAUGAGAAAGCCACGGCUAACUACGUGCCAGCAGCCGCGGUAAUACGUAGGUGGCAAGCGUUAUCCGGAAUUAUUGGGCGUAAAGAGGGAGCAGGCGGCAGCAAAGGUCUGUGGUGAAAGACUGAAGCUUAACUUCAGUAAGCCAUAGAAACCAGGCAGCUAGAGUGCAGGAGAGGAUCGUGGAAUUCCAUGUGUAGCGGUGAAAUGCGUAGAUAUAUGGAGGAACACCAGUGGCGAAGGCGACGAUCUGGCCUGUAACUGACGCUCAGUCCCGAAAGCGUGGGGAGCAAAUAGGAUUAGAUACCCUAGUAGUCCACGCCGUAAACGAUGAGUACUAAGUGUUGGAAGUCAAAUUUCAGUGCUGCAGUUAACGCAGUAAGUACUCCGCCUGAGUAGUACGUUCGCAAGAAUGAAACUCAAAGGAAUUGACGGGGGCCCGCACAAGCGGUGGAGCAUGUGGUUUAAUUCGAAGCAACGCGAAGAACCUUACCAGGUCUUGACAUACUCAUAAAGGAUCCAGAGAUGGAUAGAUAGUUAUAUGAGAUACAGGUGGUGCAUGGUUGUCGUCAGCUCGUGUCGUGAGAUGUUGGGUUAAGUCCCGCAACGAGCGCAACCCUUAUCGUUAGUUACCAUCAUUAAGUUGGGGACUCUAGCGAGACUGCCAGUGACAAGCUGGAGGAAGGCGGGGAUGACGUCAAAUCAUCAUGCCCCUUAUGACCUGGGCUACACACGUGCUACAAUGGAUGGUGCAGAGGGAAGCGAAGCCGCGAGGCGAAGCAAAACCCAUAAAACCAUUCUCAGUUCGGAUUGUAGUCUGCAACUCGACUACAUGAAGUUGGAAUCGCUAGUAAUCGCGAAUCAGCAUGUCGCGGUGAAUACGUUCUCGGGCCUUGUACACACCGCCCGUCACACCAUGAGAGUUGAUAACACCCGAAGCCGGUGGCCUAACCGAAAGGAAGGAGCUGUCUAAGGUGGGAUUGAUGAUUGGGGUGAAGUCGUAACAAGGUAUCCCUACGGGAACGUGGGGAUGGAUCACCUCCUUUCU
This 1527-nucleotide ribosomal RNA is filed under the name Thomasclavelia cocleata. RNAcentral describes it as "[Clostridium] cocleatum 16S ribosomal RNA". It matches the Rfam family "Bacterial small subunit ribosomal RNA". Lineage: Bacteria; Bacillati; Bacillota; Erysipelotrichia; Erysipelotrichales; Coprobacillaceae. The record is from RNAcentral.